This is a long non-coding RNA of Coffea arabica (coffee), 1367 nucleotides long. RefSeq lists it as uncharacterized. The record is from RefSeq and is a predicted model, not a curated record. Lineage: Eukaryota; Viridiplantae; Streptophyta; Magnoliopsida; Gentianales; Rubiaceae.
CCACCGACAAUUUCAUUGUUAUUGAAAACGACGAAUUUUGGCCGUCGAUUUUAAGGAGAUCAACAGUUUUUGUAUUUGAUACAAACGAUGUAAACCCAUCGAUACAAACGAGUGAAGUUUUUUCUAUAGAUAGGUAGCCAAAUUCAUCCAUUUCUCUCUCACCAACCCCUUUUUUCUCUAUUGUCCAUCCCUAUUCGUGGAUUGUCCAUCCUUGUAUUCCUUUCUCCUCCAGUGUCCUCCCAAAGUAGUGCUUCCGCCAGUGUCUUCCCAAAGCAGAGGCAGAACUAAUGUCUUUCCAAAAUAAUGCUUCCGCCUCGCUUGUGUCGUCUGAAGCUUUCAAGUAGUCGGUUCCAAUUGCAUGUCUCCUGUGUCUUCUUAAAGCAGACUGUGCAGCCGGUGUCUUUCCUGAAACUCCGGAGUGAGAAGACGAGCCUCAUUCGUCACAUUUGGCAAAAUAGGUACUGUCAUUCAGUAAUUAGUAUUAGUAAUUUUUUUGAUAUAAUGGAUUUGAUGUUGUGUGUGAAGUUGAAGUUGAUUAAUUAAUAGUAUUUAGUAAUUUUUUAUGCAUAAUGUGAAUUAGUAUGCCGUUAUUAGUAAAUAGUAACUAGUAAAUAGCAAAUAGCAAUAAUAAAUAGUAAUUUUAGUAAUUAGUAAUUAAUAGUAAUAGUAAACAGUAGUAGUAAUUAGUAAUCGGCAGUUACAUAGUAAAUAUUAAAUAAUAGUAACAAUACUAGUAAUUAGUAAUUAUGAGUUAAUGGAGAACCGACACUUUAAGGUUGAGAGGUUGAAAGUUGUACCCCUAUUAGAGUUUUUAUACGAGUCUCUUUCAAAUGAUGCACCGAAAGAAUUAGUUUGCCAGCAUGUUCGGUGCUAUAUUUUGAUGUUAUUUGGAAGACAGUUGUUUGCCGAUAUAUGUGGCAAUGUUUUCAGUUGUCUUUGGUUAGAUUAUAUCCGACACAGAGGGUAUAAGCCAAUACAGUUGGGGCAGUGCAAUAUUUGCUGUUUAUACUCUUAUCUCUGCAAAGCAUCGUAGGUUUCAACGAGCUACACUGUUGGCCCAUAUAUGCUUCUAUAGUUAUGGGUAUGGGAGAGAAUGCCCAAAAUUCGCUCCACCGUGUUGGUUUCCACUGCACAAGGAAAUGAAUUUCCUAAAGGCGGUCGGAGGGGCGGCAGCCGUACAACGAAAUAUGUGCUCUCGCAUGUUAUGUCCUCCUUUUGUGAUCAACUUACCAAGAUGGACAUUGAUGAGCUAUUCUACUAAUAAAUAUUGCUAUUGUAAAGUCAAUAUGUAUUUACUGUCGCGACUAACUCCAUUUCUGAUUGCCAUAGUUUAUUUGGGAGUCUUAUCCUGAUGACCUUAUUGCACA